GUGCUCGCUUUGGCAGCACAUAUACUAAAACUGGAACAACACAGAGAAGAUUAGCAUGGCCUCUGUUCAAGAAUGACACGCAAAUUUGAGAACAUUAUAAAAAAUAG
This is a small nuclear RNA of Suncus etruscus (white-toothed pygmy shrew), 107 nucleotides long. The record is from RefSeq and is a predicted model, not a curated record. NCBI's taxonomy places the organism in Eukaryota, Metazoa, Chordata, Mammalia, Eulipotyphla, Soricidae.